Molecule: ribosomal RNA, 460 nt
Filed under: uncultured bacterium
Lineage: Bacteria
Description: partial 16S ribosomal RNA
Rfam family: Bacterial small subunit ribosomal RNA
Source: RNAcentral
CCUACGGGUGACUGUAGUGAGGAAUAUUGGUCAAUGGGCGCGAGCCUGAACCAGCCAAGUAGCGUGAAGGAUGACUGCCCUAUGGGUUGUAAACUUCUUUUAUAAAAGAAUAAAACGAGGCACGUGUGCCUUUUUGCAUGUACUUUAUGAAUAAGGAUCGGCUAACUCCGUGCCAGCAGCCGCGGUAAUACGGAGGAUCCGAGCGUUAUCCGGAUUUAUGGGGUUUAAAGGGAGCGGAGAUGGGUUGUUAAGUCAGUUGUGAAAGUUUGCGGCUCAACCGUAAAAUUGCAAUUGAUACUGGCAGUCUUGAGUACAGUUGAGGUAGGCGGAAUUCGUGGUGUAGCGGGGAAAUGCUUAGAUAUCACGAAGAACCCCGAUUGCGAAGGCAGCUUACUAAACUGUGACUGACAUUGAUGCUCGAAAGUGUGGGUAUCAAACAGGAUUAGAUACCCCGGUAGUC